UUUCAAUUCCUAUCAGGUAGAGAGAGUGAAAAUUUUUCGAAUGUGCUGUAGCUAUCGUUUUAACAAUCGGCUAAUUAAUGGAAUCAUAGCAUCGUGUGAGUUUUUAGAAUUUAUUCUUCUCGCGUCUCUCUCUUUAUGUUCCUACUUUCUACCUCGGAAGAAAGGGGAUGGUCGCAGCCUCCGUUUGCUACUUUACCGAUCACGACUUGAACUCACGGUGGCGUGCCAGGACUGUGUCACUCUCCGAGGCAUCGUGGUCAUGCUUUCCCAGUGGCACUCUAUGAAAGGGAUGAUGUCCUUGUCCUUGUGAAAUACGACCCUGUGCUCUCUGUCCUUUAUGCUCAUUUGCAAGAGAUUGGCGAUGGCAGUGGCGCACAUUUGGGGAAAUGCUGUAAACAGUGCGAAACGAUGCUUGGUUUACGUUUGUUCGAGCCUGGCCGAUGGAAUUCUGUUAAGCCAACUGGAAGAAAGCCGCUUACGAGCUUGAUUCUUUUUGAAACUUUCCAACCCUGUUGGAGAACAAUUCUUGCACAUGAAGACGUAGUUCAUCAUGAACGGAACAAGCUUUCCCAGCUGAUAGCCGAUGCAGGAUUCGUGAUACCAUCUCGAGCAGCUA
Long non-coding RNA from Neodiprion fabricii, 616 nucleotides. RefSeq lists it as uncharacterized. The transcript is spliced from 2 exons. NCBI's taxonomy places the organism in Eukaryota, Metazoa, Arthropoda, Insecta, Hymenoptera, Diprionidae. The record is from RefSeq and is a predicted model, not a curated record.